This 971-nucleotide long non-coding RNA is filed under the name Physcomitrium patens. RNAcentral's name for it is "long non-coding RNA (PPAT_LNC013221)". Lineage: Eukaryota; Viridiplantae; Streptophyta; Bryopsida; Funariales; Funariaceae. The record is from RNAcentral.
GAACCUGGCCACUCAGUAUUUGCACUGGAGUUGGUCGUUGCUUCCAAUAUUCGAGGUAACUGAGCAUUAAUAAAAGUCCCCUUUCUUUAUAUUUUCACGGUAUACUCGUGUUACAACACGACACCGUAAUCCUAUAAUAACCGCUUUUAAUAACUGAAUCAGUCAUCCGUCCUCCUAAACUGACUAUUCUAUGAACUAUUAAUCUAUUUUAUCAAUAUCUUAUAAAAACAAAUUAAUAUCUAUUCUACAAUACUCUAAUCCUAACAAAUCCUAAAUCCUAAACCAAAUCCUAACCAAACCCUAAUCCUAAAUCUUAAUCAAACCUUAAUCCAAACCAAACCCUAAUCACAGAUUUGAAAAUUAAAUAACUAAAGAUUGAACCAUCGAUUCUAAUUCAAAAUUUGCACACUUCUUAGAGUUUAAGUUAAAAACCAGUACACAAAUUUUGAAGAAAAUCGCACUUAUUAAUUAGUCGAUGACCUCAAAAUUCCGCUCAAAUGUCGGCUGGUCUCUCCUUCUCUAAUCUUGAUGCCAACUUCCAAUGCUGAUAUCUCCCUUUUUCCACCAUUUGAUUGCUUCCAAAUUUUACUUACAUGUAGAAAAUCAAGUUUUCUAUUGAUAAAACCAAAAAUCUCUCCAAUCCAACUAGCAAAUUGCUAGAUAUCUAAGAAAACCUUACUGGUCCUCAAAACCCUAAAUCUCGAGACCUUAGCCCACAAAAACCUUCAUAUGUAUUGAUCUAGCCAUUUGAUUGACUUCAAAUCUCUUAUACACAUUCACAACAAGCAUACCAAUAAGUCUCUAAAUUUUCACCCAUAAAAAUGCUACAAAAGACACGAAAUCCAAACAUUUGUAAACCGGUUUUAUUUCUCAAAGAUCUGAAUUCACAGAGAACAUCACUCGCUUUAAAAAUCUCUCAAAAAUCCAAUACUGAUCCAAACGACACGAAAUCACCUCUCAAAAAUCCUUCC